RNAcentral lists this ribosomal RNA (420 nucleotides) under uncultured bacterium. RNAcentral's name for it is "bacterial SSU rRNA". It matches the Rfam family "Bacterial small subunit ribosomal RNA", at positions 375 to 788 of the family's 1533-position model. The record is from RNAcentral.
GCGAAAGCCUGACGGAGCAACGCCGCGUGAGUGAUGAAGGUCUUCGGAUCGUAAAACUCUGUUAUCAGGGAAGAACAAACGUGUAAGUAACUGUGCACGUCUUGACGGUACCUGAUCAGAAAGCCACGGCUAACUACGUGCCAGCAGCCGCGGUAAUACGUAGGUGGCAAGCGUUAUCCGGAAUUAUUGGGCGUAGAGCGCGCGUAGGCGGUUUUUUAAGUCUGAUGUGAAAGCCCACGGCUCAGCCGUGGAGGGUCAUUGGAAACUGGAAAACUUGAGUGCAGAAGAGGAAAGUGGAAUUCCAUGUGUAGCGGUGAAAUGCGCAGAGAUAUGGAGGAACACCAGUGGCGAAGGCGACUUUCUGGUCUGUGACUGACGCUGAUAUGCGAAAGCGUGGGGACUAAAGGGAUUAGAUACCCC